AACAAAAAGCACUAGAGGUGUGAGCAGUUUCGGCCUGUUAGGUGGACUAGUCAGGUCCUUUGUUU
This 65-nucleotide transfer RNA is filed under the name Kulikovia alborostrata. Its description in RNAcentral is "tRNA-Arg". Lineage: Eukaryota; Metazoa; Nemertea; Pilidiophora; Heteronemertea; Lineidae. The record is from RNAcentral.